CUUCUGACUAUUGCGAUGGGGGGACGGAGAAGGCUAGGUGGGCCAGGCGACGGUUGUCCUGGUUCAAGUGCGUAGGCUUGAGAGUUAGGUAAAUCCGGCUCUCUCUAAGGCUGAGACACGACGUCGAGCUACUACGGUAGUGAAGUCAUUGAUGCCAUGCUUCCAGGAAAAGCCUCUAAGCUUCAGAUAGUCAGGAAUCGUACCCCAAACCGACACAGGUGGUCGGGUAGAGAAUACCAAGGCGCUUGAGAGAACUCGGGUGAAGGAACUAGGCAAAAUGGUACCGUAACUUCGGGAGAAGGUACGCUCUUGAUGGUGAAGUCCCUCGCGGAUGGAGCUGACGAGAGUCGCAGAUACCAGGUGGCUGCAACUGUUUAUUAAAAACACAGCACUGUGCAAAAUCGCAAGAUGACGUAUACGGUGUGACGCCUGCCCGGUGCCGGAAGGUUAAUUGAUGGGGUUAGCGCAAGCGAAGCUCUUGAUCGAAGCCCCGGUAAACGGCGGCCGUAACUAUAACGGUCCUAAGGUAGCGAAAUUCCUUGUCGGGUAAGUUCCGACCUGCACGAAUGGCGUAAUGAUGGCCACGCUGUCUCCACCCGAGACUCAGUGAAAUUGAAAUCGCUGUGAAGAUGCAGUGUACCCGCGGCUAGACGGAAAGACCCCGUGAACCUUUACUACAGCUUGGCACUGAACAUUGAACCUACAUGUGUAGGAUAGGUGGGAGGCUAUGAAGACGUGACGCCAGUUGCGUUGGAGCCGUCCUUGAAAUACCACCCUUGUAUGUUUGAUGUUCUAACUUAGACCCAUUAUCUGGGUUGAGGACAGUGCCUGGUGGGUAGUUUGACUGGGGCGGUCUCCUCCCAAAGAGUAACGGAGGAGCACGAAGGUGGGCUAAUCACGGUUGGACAUCGUGAGGUUAGUGCAAUGGCAUAAGCCCGCUUAACUGCGAGAAUGACGGUUCGAGCAGGUGCGAAAGCAGGUCAUAGUGAUCCGGUGGUUCUGUAUGGAAGGGCCAUCGCUCAACGGAUAAAAGGUACUCCGGGGAUAACAGGCUGAUACCGCCCAAGAGUUCAUAUCGACGGCGGUGUUUGGCACCUCGAUGUCGGCUCAUCACAUCCUGGGGCUGAAGUCGGUCCCAAGGGUAUGGCUGUUCGCCAUUUAAAGUGGUACGCGAGCUGGGUUUAGAACGUCGUGAGACAGUUCGGUCCCUAUCUGCCGUGGGCGUUGGAAGAUUGAAGGGGGCUGCUCCUAGUACGAGAGGACCGGAGUGGACGAACCUCUGGUGUUCGGGUUGUGUCGCCAGACGCAUUGCCCGGUAGCUAAGUUCGGAAUUGAUAAGCGCUGAAAGCAUCUAAGCGCGAAGCGAGCCCUGAGAUGAGUCUUCCCUGACAGUUUAACUGUCCUAAAGGGUUGUUCGAGACUAGAACGUUGAUAGGCAGGGUGUGUAAGCGUUGUGAGGCGUUGAGCUAACCUGUACUAAUUGCCCGUGAGGCUUAACCAU
Molecule: ribosomal RNA, 1501 nt
Filed under: Vibrio cholerae CP1041(14)
Lineage: Bacteria; Pseudomonadati; Pseudomonadota; Gammaproteobacteria; Vibrionales; Vibrionaceae
Description: bacterial LSU rRNA
Rfam family: Bacterial large subunit ribosomal RNA
Source: RNAcentral